GACGAACGCUGGCGGCGUGCUUAACACAUGCAAGUCGAACGGAAAGGCCCUGCUUGCAGGGUACUCGAGUGGCGAACGGGUGAGUAACACGUGGGUGAUCUGCCCUGCACUUCGGGAUAAGCUUGGGAAACUGGGUCUAAUACCGGAUAGGAGCCAUCUUGAGUGUGGUGGUUGGAAAGUUUUUUCGGUGUAGGAUGAGCUCGCGGCCUAUCAGCUUGUUGGUGGGGUAAUGGCCUACCAAGGCGGCGACGGGUAGCCGGCCUGAGAGGGGGUACGGCCACAUUGGGACUGAGAUACGGCCCAGACUCCUACGGGAGGCAGAAGUGGGGAAUAUUGCACAAUGGGCGCAAGACUGAUGCAGCGACGCCGCGUGGGGGAUGAAGGCCUUCGGGUUGUAAACUCCUCUCGCUAGGGACGAAGCUUUGUUGUGACGGUACCUAGAUAAGAAGCACCGGCUAACUACGUG
This 466-nucleotide ribosomal RNA is filed under the name uncultured bacterium. RNAcentral's name for it is "partial 16S ribosomal RNA". It matches the Rfam family "Bacterial small subunit ribosomal RNA", at positions 28 to 507 of the family's 1533-position model. The record is from RNAcentral.